Molecule: ribosomal RNA, 725 nt
Filed under: Arthrobacter sp. RZ-43
Lineage: Bacteria; Bacillati; Actinomycetota; Actinomycetes; Micrococcales; Micrococcaceae
Description: bacterial SSU rRNA
Rfam family: Bacterial small subunit ribosomal RNA
Source: RNAcentral
UGGCGAACGGGUGAGUAACACGUGAGUAACCUGCCCUUAACUCUGGGAUAAGCCUGGGAAACUGGGUCUAAUACCGGAUAUGACUCCUCAUCGCAUGGUGGGGGGUGGAAAGCUUUAUUGUGGUUUUGGAUGGACUCGCGGCCUAUCAGCUUGUUGGUGAGGUAAUGGCUCACCAAGGCGACGACGGGUAGCCGGCCUGAGAGGGUGACCGGCCACACUGGGACUGAGACACGGCCCAGACUCCUACGGGAGGCAGCAGUGGGGAAUAUUGCACAAUGGGCGAAAGCCUGAUGCAGCGACGCCGCGUGAGGGAUGACGGCCUUCGGGUUGUAAACCUCUUUCAGUAGGGAAGAAGCGAAAGUGACGGUACCUGCAGAAGAAGCGCCGGCUAACUACGUGCCAGCAGCCGCGGUAAUACGUAGGGCGCAAGCGUUAUCCGGAAUUAUUGGGCGUAAAGAGCUCGUAGGCGGUUUGUCGCGUCUGCCGUGAAAGUCCGGGGCUCAACUCCGGAUCUGCGGUGGGUACGGGCAGACUAGAGUGAUGUAGGGGAGACUGGAAUUCCUGGUGUAGCGGUGAAAUGCGCAGAUAUCAGGAGGAACACCGAUGGCGAAGGCAGGUCUCUGGGCAUUAACUGACGCUGAGGAGCGAAAGCAUGGGGAGCGAACAGGAUUAGAUACCCUGGUAGUCCAUGCCGUAAACGUUGGGCACUAGGUGUGGGGGACAUU